This 846-nucleotide long non-coding RNA is filed under the name Meleagris gallopavo (turkey). RNAcentral's name for it is "lncRNA (ENSMGAG00000022348.1)". Lineage: Eukaryota; Metazoa; Chordata; Aves; Galliformes; Phasianidae. The record is from RNAcentral.
GGCAACCGAUUGCUUUACCACCUCCCUUUUUGCCACCACAGUCUUUGAUUUUCCAGCUGAGUCUCCUCUGAAAAGAAACCACCUCCUUCUCCUUUGCUUACGAGGUUCCAAAAUUUCCCAAGGAUGAGACGGUCACAUCAACAUCCCUGCUCUGGUCCAGCAAUAGAGACAAGUAAGAGAUGUUCAACACCUCCUGGGAACCCCUCCGAAAGGCCCCCAGAUGUGGAAGUGCCACAGGUCAACUGGUCCUCAGUAUAUUCGCCUGGCAUCCCUUGGGAAGAGAGCCGCGCAGACACCAACACAUCCGUACCCACCCAAAGGAUCUCCUAUUGCUGGAAGAACAGCUGCAAUUUCGGCUGCCUGAUCCUGGCUGCAGGGGCACAUCUCACAGUGCUGAGGUAUAUGGAAAAGUCACCCCAAUAUGUCCUGAAGAUGCCACAGAGUCAGCCCAGCCCAACCCAGGAGCCACACAGCUGCAAUUAGCGCUGCACCCCAGCUAAUUAGUUCUGCUAAAAAUGAGGAAAACUAGCAGGGGCUAAUUACUGCACUAAUUUGAUCUGUGAGCUGGAGCUUGGGUCUGGCUGGUGCAGAGCGGAGCACAGCAGCUUGCAGAGGUCUGUGCAAGCAUCACUUUGUUCAAGAGCUUGGAACAGUCCAGCAAAGUCCCUCUGCAGGUCCAUCCUGCCCUCCUGCAGCAGAGCUGUGUGUGCAGAGCUCUGCAGCCCCGCUCUCUGGAUGCCUGCCCUGGCUGCAGGACGCCCUCGGGAGCAACGUUGUCCUAAAGGAUAAAUCCCAGCAGAUGCCAGGAGCUGCUGCUGGUGGGAUUAGUGGGACGGAAGCGUGGGA